GAUGAACGCUGGCGGCGUGCCUAAUACAUGCAAGUCGAGCGAACGGACGAGAAGCUUGCUUCUCUGAUGUUAGCGGCGGACGUGUGAGUAACACGUGGAUAACCUACCUAUAAUACUGGGAUAACUUCGGGAAACCGGAGCUAAUACCGGAUAAUAUUUUGAACCUCAUGGUUCUAUAGUGAAAGACGGUCUUUCUGUCACUUAUAGAUGGAUCCGCGCUGCAUUAGCUAGUUGGUAAGGUAACGGCUUACCAAGGCAACGAUGCAUAGCGGACCUGAGAGGGUGAUCGGACAAACGGGAACGGAGACACGGACCAGAGACCGACGGGAGGGAGCAGAAGGGAAUGUUCGGCAAUGGGGGAAAGGAUGACGGAGCAAGGCCGAGUGAGAGAUGAAGGUCUUGGGAUCGGAAAACUGUGUUAUUAGGGAAGAACAAAUGUGUAAGGAAAUGUGCACAUAUUGACGGUAACUAAUAAGAAAGCAACGGCUAACUACGUG
This 497-nucleotide ribosomal RNA is filed under the name uncultured bacterium. RNAcentral's name for it is "partial 16S ribosomal RNA". It matches the Rfam family "Bacterial small subunit ribosomal RNA", at positions 28 to 507 of the family's 1533-position model. The record is from RNAcentral.